Molecule: long non-coding RNA, 2487 nt
Organism: Dalotia coriaria
Lineage: Eukaryota; Metazoa; Arthropoda; Insecta; Coleoptera; Staphylinidae
Exons: 2
Source: RefSeq, a predicted model, not a curated record
AUCGUUCAAUAAAUGUAUUAAACCGGCCCUCGAAAACAUUUGAUGCUAAUUUGCUAAGUGCGCACGAGUUGCAAACCUGCGCAAAUGCACCAAGAAGUCGUAAAAAUUAUUACUGACUGGAGUGCAGAGUAAUAAAAAUUGUUACGAUUUACGCUUGGCUAUAGGUUAUAGUUAUAGUAUGCAACCAAUGUAACGCAAGCAAAAGUUGCCUGCACUCGGCGCUGGCACAUCGUAAAUCGAUAAGUUUGCAUUACAUUAAUUAUAUAUUUCAUACGAGCCGCAACUCAUAUGGCUAUCUUUUAUUGAAAAGGGAUUAUAGGCGAUGUGACACUUGAAAUUGUUGGUUGUAAGUUAUAACAAUGAUUAUAUCACGUAUACUUGAUUUAGGUGUUUGAAUUCUAAAGGCAGGAAAUAUUUCAAUUAUAAUAAUCACGCUUCGAGGCAUGAAUGAUUUGUAAAAUCAGAUUUGUCCUCGUUGUGCAUACCUUAAUAUAAAGUGUGAUGUAGUGCGUGUUUAUGCAUAAUCAGGCUGUUAUUGAACAAACAUAAUUCCAGAUUGAAGUGUUUGAUUGUAAAAGAUGUCAAAGUCGAUUAAAUUAACAUGAAUCAAACAUUUUCAGGUAAACUUAAUACCGUAAAUAACUCCCGAAGUGUAUAAGUAACCAUACUAUCUGAAAAUGUGGACAGACCGGAUGGAAAUCGAUAAAGCGUUCACAUUGUUCGCAUUCCAAAAUUAUAAUUCAAGCUGGCAACCUACGACUACUCUGGGCUGCUAUCAUUUGCUGGCUAAUUUAUAGUGCUUGUUUUCUUAUCAGCGCGGUAAUUAAUUGGCAGUCAUGUGUGACGUGCGUGUAAUGCGAUGUGGUCGCAAGUUGAAUGCAGAAUGCACGGUUACAUCAACUGUCUUCUCUUGCGGCGGCAUGUUUGAAAGUGUAAGUGGACGCAUUCCGCUCGUCGUGGAGUUUUUUGAUCCACAUCGGACAAGCACAUUUUGUGGUUGAAGAUGAUACGCUCUCGAAGCCUCGAGUUGCGGUUCGUGGUUUCGCAUAAUCAGCUUUUAUAAACCGCCGAAAGCCGGCAGUUUGCUUGCUUCAUGCGCUCGCGCAUAAAAUGCAAAUGCGAGCGAGCUUCGACGUUGCGGUGUUUUUCAUUUGCGAUGAAAUUUUUACUUCCGAACAGGCAGGCCGCGAAUUCUCUUUGGUAUUUCAACGACAUUUUCUUUUAUACUCGAUUUUUUACCGUUUUUUAUGUGUUGUUUUUAACGGAAACCAUGCUAAACUGUUAAUAGACGUUGUAAAAUGCUGAACUCUAAUAUUUCUGUCGAGCGGCGUGUUUAAUUAAAACUUGCUAAAGCGCAAACGCAAACAAUUUGAAUGCGUUUAAAAGUUUGGGGAACUUAUAAUUAAACAGAUUGUUCCAAAAUGUUUUUGUUUGUCGGGUCAAUGAAAACAGGUUUUAACUUUUUUAUAGAAAGAUUUUUAUUCAUUUUUGGUGCACGUGGAAUUUUUUAUGUGAUUGAAUUAAGUAAUUUAUGUCAUCGGCAAUAUUUAUGAUGCAGGAUGCUAUCAUCGACGAGCAUUACAUCAAUAUCGAAUAAUAAACCAAUGUUAUGUUCACGUUCCAUAAAAUAUAAAAAAAAAUACAAAAUUAUUUCCGAAGCGUAUGAUAUCUACACGCUCGGACCACAUUAGUCCACUUGUACUGUCACAUCGACACAUUCAGAGACCCUGUUCUACCGUUUAUGGUAAUCUGAUUCGAAAUUAUACAAAAAAAGGUCACGGUGAACGGCUUGAGCAUGCUUCCAUGUUUGUCGCGCGCACAUCGCUUUGUAUUCGGUGAUAUGCCCAACAUUACAAAGCCAUUAAACGCUUCAUGAAAACGCGUACACUUGUAGCAACCAAACCGUGUGGUAACAUUAACCGAAGGCAAUUUGUCAGGAAUUGUUUUGAGAGCGUUUGGAUUGUGUUUUUUUUUUAACGAAGAGAAUCUACAUACGUAUUUCUUGGGAUAUUAAUGCAUUGACGCUGUCGAGAAGAUCUCGGCGCCUGUUUGUUGUUGGAUAUAACGCUGGGAUAACAUAUGUACAUAUGAGUAAGCGUCGGGAUUUGUAGAAUUAUUUUUAGAUUUAUAUCUUGUGGCUUCGUUUUAAUCCAUAUGGUUGUGGUUUCGUGGAUUGCUGUAUAUUUGAUACAAAUCUAUUGUGGGAAUGAGGGAAGUUGUUGGCUUGUUGGAGUGAAACAAGACACAUUUAAUUGUUCACAAGUUAGUAUGUAUUGAUUUUCUUGAAUUAUCAUUUCAUGCGAGAUUAUCUCGGUGGUGCUGUUCUUGUUAUGCGCAUGACGUUGAUUGUGAUUCAUGUGAUAUUGUUCUCGAAAUGCAAUAAACAUUACGUGGGAAGUUUCAGGAGAAUUCGUGUGUGAAGUAAUUUAAAUAACAAACAGCAGUGGCAAAUUUUGAUAAUUAUGAUAAUAUAUGAAUCACUCACAA